This 253-nucleotide ribosomal RNA is filed under the name uncultured bacterium. RNAcentral's name for it is "partial 16S ribosomal RNA". It matches the Rfam family "Bacterial small subunit ribosomal RNA", at positions 524 to 776 of the family's 1533-position model. The record is from RNAcentral.
UACGGGGGGGGCAAGCGUUGUUCGGAAUUACUGGGCGUAAAGGGCUCGUAGGCGGCCAACUAAGUCAGACGUGAAAUCCCUCGGCUUAACCGGGGAACUGCGUCUGAUACUGGAUGGCUGGAGGUUGGGAGAGGGAUGCGGAAUUCCAGGUGUAGCGGUGAAAUGCGUAGAGAUGUGGAGGAACACCGAUGGCGAAGGCAGCCCCCUGGGUCAAGACUGACGCUGAGGAGCGAAAGCAUGGGGAGCGAACAGG